GUCUGCACUUGUCGGGGAAGGGUGAGAACCCUCGAUUAAGGUUCGACUCGAGCGAAAGCGAGAGAACGUUGCCAACGGCAACGGCCCGUAG
Molecule: small RNA, 91 nt
Filed under: Salmonella enterica subsp. enterica serovar Enteritidis
Lineage: Bacteria; Pseudomonadati; Pseudomonadota; Gammaproteobacteria; Enterobacterales; Enterobacteriaceae
Description: partial RtT sRNA
Rfam family: RtT RNA
About the family: This family represents a bacterial cis-regulatory element known as RtT RNA. The exact function of RtT is unknown although it is thought that it may be involved in changing the cellular response in relation to amino acid starvation.
Source: RNAcentral